CCUCCUAUACCUACCUUUAGACUCUCCCGUUGAAGAAAGAGAAAAAAAGCGUUUUCCCUUUCUUAGGUUUGACGUGCUCCUUGUUUGACCCAUACAGGCGAGUGACUGGCCACCCGGAGCAGCCAGUCAUCGAGGCAGCAGUUCAGAACAUGAGAACAAUCGAGCUCUAGGUCUGAGCUCUCGCGCUCGCUCAGAAAAGAAAGGUAGGCGUCCUCUAGGGCUGCUCUUCCGCUUCCGCUUCGUCCGCCGCGUUGGCUUCGAGGAGUACCGGGCGAGCAGGAGCGUCAGGGUCAGGAGGCAGCCGCCACGGCCGCGGCGGCCUAGGGCGGGUCGGUGGCGGCCCGGGGCGCCGUGCGGGCGGCGGUGCCGGCCGUACGCGGCGGCUGGGCCGGCGUGGAGGAGGAGGCGCAGGCCACCGCCUCCGAAGAGGCCGCCGCCUCCCUUGUUGUACGACGCGAAGAUGUGGCUGCUCCGGGGCCCCGACGCGGAGAGGGGCUGGUACCACGAGCAGUACAGGCAGACGAAGUAGCCGAAGCAGUGGCGGGAGGUGCAGAAGCCGUUCGAGAUGGCGAGGGCGUGGCGGCGGAGGCGCAGGCGGACUAGUUGGGCCAAGGACAAAGAAGGAGCAGAGUCUAGUCUAGUCUACCAAAACCACACAUUGUUUCUCCAACACCAACGAUGGACUGCUCAAUCUAGACGGCUUCAUGGGAUGUACAAAUUAAUACCACGGGAAACACAAAGGUAAAUGGAACAACAACGCUACUUAACACCGAUUAGUGAACACGGACAGUUAACUUUAGUAGUCUUCACACAUGAAGAACCCCUAACCCCGUGUCAAAACGGACAGACUCUUGAUCAUCUGGUUAAUACGUAGAGCGAUCGAAGUAUGCAACGAAUUAAUUCAUGGAUGAUACGUCAAGAGAAAACCAACAGUAGUUAAAAAUAAUCUCUUGACCUACAAAGACAGCCCAUUAAUCCGUGGAUGAUAAGCGAAGACACAGUGACACUAUUAUGAUCAUCGAUUAGAA
This 1028-nucleotide ribosomal RNA is filed under the name Triticum aestivum (bread wheat). Its description in RNAcentral is "partial small subunit ribosomal RNA". Lineage: Eukaryota; Viridiplantae; Streptophyta; Magnoliopsida; Poales; Poaceae. The record is from RNAcentral.